UAAAGGUUAAAUAACUAGAUUUUUAAGACAUAAUAAAAGCCCAUCUGAAACUGAUUUAAACAAUGCAGAAAUGCAUUAUCUUCUGAGGAAAUAGGGAGAGGUCAGGUAGGGUCCCCUUCUAGCACAUCAGGGGUUAAUCAUCGUCUGUGGGAUGUGUAUAGGAAAACCAAACUAUUUUAUUCUUUAUAUGCACAACAUUUCUGACACCAAAACUGUGGGAGUUUUACCCACACCAGACAAUUUUCUAAUUCUCUUUGAACAAUAACCAGCAUUACACAAUUCAAUUAAAUUCUGAUGCUAUUUACCAACAGCUAUUUUAGACCUCAAAGGUUAAGUGCCCAGCUGCACAAUACUAACACCCCCACCUCCCCACUUCAGACAACAGUCACAAGUCCAGGCUUUCGCCUGUAUUUCUAACCAACUAGCUACAAACUGGGGGUUUAUACAAUCCUCACCUUGGGUUUGACCAUUUGUAAGAACUGCUCAUUGAACUCAGGAAAACCAUUUAAUUGCUGUAUUACCAGUUCAUUAUAAAGGAUGCAACUCAUAAACAGUCAAACAAAAGCGCUGCAUAGAGCAAGGGAUGGGGAAGAGGCUGAGAGCUUCCCUUUGGGUGCACCCCAUGAUCAGCACCUCUGUGCAUUGACCAACCUGGAGGCUCUCAGAAUCCUGUCUUUUUGUGUUAUUGUAGAGGCUGUAUUACAUGGACAUGACUGAUUGUAUUAUUGCUCAUUGGUGAUUAAACUGUAGCUCCUCUCCCUUCCUCAGAGGUUAGAGAGUCUGAAGGAAAAUUCUAACCCUCUAAUCACUUGGUUGGUUCCCUUGGCAAUGAAUAGCCCUCAUCCUGUGUUUAUCUAGGGCUUUCCAAAACUCAUGUCACUUGCAUAAACUGAGGUAAACUUCUUAGGAAUAACGAAAGACACUUCUCUUACAUUUAUCACCCCCAUAAUUUAGGAAAUUCUGAGGAGUUUAGGAGCUUUGUCCAGGAAGGAGUAAAACAAUCAAAUAUAUAUUGCUUAUUAUAAAUAACGGUAUCACAAGAUACUGUGAUACUUCAGUUGCUUUCGGCAAUUGUCGUCAUCACAUCUGUAUAGAAUAAUACCCAAAGUACAAAGAAGACUUGUCUCUUUAACUCUAUUUUAGGAGCAAGGGAUUCUUCUUAGCACUCUCCUGUUAGAUUUGUCCUAAUGUUUCAUAGGUCAGAAUUACAUACUCAACGCUAAACAAUUACUGCUGUAAUAUGCCACCCAAAGUAGGGCUACGAGAAACCCAAAUAUGCCACCCCAAAAUAUGUCACUUUGGCAUAAAGGUCAUUUGGAGCUAAUUAUUUUGAGAAACUGUAGACACAGGGUAAACUCUAAGAGAGUAGAAGUUACCCCCUUGUAAGGAAAAUAUACACCCAUUAAAAAAUAUUUGUAAGGGUGUAUCAGAUCUCUGUACCAGGAGGAAAAGGAUGGCUGUAAAUCACUGGAGACUUCUAUCAAUGAAGCAGGCGCCAAACCUUGCUUAACAAACCUUGCUCUUGUUUAGUUCUCCUGAUCACUUUCCCACGAGUGUGCUUCCUCACACCUUUCUUUCUGUUUCAGUUGAAGAUUGCAUUUCAGCCUGAACUAUUUCUUUGAAAUGUACUCAUUUCUCUGAGUAUCUCUCAUGUCUAUAGGAGGCAUACAUCUGAUAAAGCUUCUGUUCGUUUUUCUCUUGUUACUUUAUGUAUUGCUACAGGGGUCAGUUCUACCGAGGAACUGUGAAAGGCAGAGGGAAAAUUAGUUUUUCCUCUGCUGCACUGCAAAUUAGAGUGGAAUCUCUGUGACUGUCCUAGGCUUAUCGUGAUCUAUUGUCCGUUAUUCUCAAUGGAAUCCUUUCCUCCUUAAUCAUGUGGAAGAAAAAGCAAAUAACAGUAAGAUCUAGACACUUUUAAAAGAAGGGAAAACAUAGAUUUGUGGGAGGUCUCUAACAGGGUAAACUAGAAGUUCUCUGAAGAUCUUGCUUAAAAGGAAGAAUUUUAUUUUGGGAAUAAGUCUUAUCUAAUUUCGUGCCAAGAAAAUGAGGUUUAUUUUUAUGUAUAUUAUGUGCAGUAAGAUUUUAUAUGAUAAAACUAAGAAACAAGAAAAAUAAUCAAAAUUCCCUUCUGAAUAACAUUCAUUCCAAAUGCCACUUACACAUAUGAUAAACUCAGAACCGAGAAUGCUCGGUGAGAGGCGGAGGAGCGGUAGCUGCCCGAGCUGCACACAGCUCAGCGCUCCUUCCCGCCCCCUCACACACCGACCUCAGCCCACUCACCGGCAGUAGAAGAUGGUGAAAGAAACCACUUACUACGAUGUUUUGGGAGUCAAACCCAAUGCUACUCAGGAAGAACUGAAAAAGGCUUAUCGGAAACUGGCCUUGAAGUACCAUCCUGAUAAGAAUCCAAAUGAAGGAGAGAAGUUUAAACAGAUUUCUCAAGCGUACGAAGUUCUCUCUGACGCAAAGAAAAGGGAAUUAUAUGAGAAAGGAGGAGAGCAGGCAAAGAGGGCAGAGCAGGUGGCGGUUUUGGCUCCCCCAUGGACAUCUUUGGUAUGUUUUUUGGAGGAGGAGGAAGGAUGCAGAGAGAUAGGAGAGGUAAGAAUGUUGUACAGCCGCUCUCGGUAACCCUAGAAGACUUAUAUAAUGGUGCCACAAGAAAACUGGCUCUGCAAAAGACUGUGAUUUGUGACAAAUGCGAAGGUAGAGAAGGUAAGAGAGGAGCAGUAGAGCGCUGUCCCAAUUGCCGAGGUACUGAAGGCAAAUAAGAAUUCAUCAGAUAGGACCUGGAAUGGUUCGGCAAAGUCAGUCUGUGUGCAUGGAGUGCCAGGGCCAUGGGGAGCGGAUCAGUCCUAAAGAUAGAUGUAAAAGCUGCAAUGGAAGGAAGAUAGUUCAAGAGAAGAAGAUUCUAGAAGUUCAUAUUGACAAAGCCUGAAAGAUGGCCAGAAGGUAACAUUCCAUGGUGAAGGAGACCAAGAACCAGGACUGGAGCCAGGAGAUACAAUCAUUGUGUUAGAUCAGAAGGAUCAUGCUGUUUUUACUCAAUGAGGAGAAGACCUUUUCAAGUGUAUGGACAUACAGCUGGUUGAAGCACCGUGUGGCUUCCAAAAGCCAAUAUGCAAUCUUGACAACUGAACCAUAGUCAUCACCUCUCAUCCAGGUCUGAUUGUCAAGCAUGGAGAUAUCAAGUGCGUAGUAAAUGAAGGCAUGCCAGUUUAUCACAGACCAUAUGAAAAGGGUCUCCUAAUCAUCGAAAUUAAGGUCAACUUUCCUGAGAAUGGCUUUCUCUCUCCUGAUAAACUGUCUUUGCUAGAAAAACUCCUACCGGAGAGGAAGGAAAUGGAAGAGACUGAUGAGAUGGAUCAAGUAGAACUGGUGGACUUUGAUCCAAAUCAGGAAAGACAGCGCCAUUGCAAUGGAGAAGCAUAUGAAGAUGAUAAACAUCAUCCCAGAGGUGGCGUUCAGUGUCAGACCUCUUAAUGGGCCAGUGAAUAACACUCACUGCUGGCAUUUUAUGUCCAGUAGUGAAUGAGUAAGGACUGUAAUCAUAAUAUGCUCACUACUUGCUCUUGUUUUUGUUUUAAUCAACUGUAGUAGUGUUUUUAAAAGUUAAAUGAAGAAUAAAGGCAAAUAUAAAAGCUCUGACUUUGCCCUGUAUGUAUGAUGACUUCAGCAUGCAAAAUGAAGUUUAAUACCUGUAAAAACUACUUUACACGAAAGUUCCCCUAGCACUUCUAGGCCAAACCUUGCAAUUGCCUUCAGCUAUGUACGUGGACAAGCUUCGACUGAAAUGCUAGGUAUAUGUAUUGGCUUCAGUGUAUGACCCUUCAUUGUUAAGCUGUGAAAGUAAAACUCACCGGCAAUAAGAAAAAAAAGUUGUAGAGAAGCGUUGGUCUGUAUAGUUAUUGUAUUAAGUGGGAUUCAUUGUAAUGCCUCUGCAUUUAUUCUAUUGCCUCAACUGCUACUUGAAGAUGGCGUAAUAUAUAAUUUAUCAUGUGGCAUAAGUGAUAAAAAUGAUACCUUUCUGUAGGAGGGGUUUUCAUAAUAUGCUGCUGCUUGAAGGCUUGCACUUCCAAAAUUGUUUCCUUCUGCUGUGCCAUCCAUAUAUAUAUAUAUCUCCAUAUAUAUCUUGACCAGUCCUGGUUAUUUGCCCCACUCCUUGUCUAUGGACCAUGAUAAGCCCAAGUAGUGACUUCAGAGCUGUGUAACAUAGAAAUGAAAGUGAAAAGACCUUUACAUGGAGAAGUAAUUUGCAUGAAUAAUAUAGGAAGGUGUUCUUUAGGUAUGUUACAGGAUUACUUUAAACCAUUUGAUUUACGUUCCAAAGUAACUAAUGUUGGUAGUAUAGCAAAUUAUGAUGAAUAAC
Callithrix jacchus (white-tufted-ear marmoset) is the source of this 4366-nucleotide non-coding RNA. NCBI's taxonomy places the organism in Eukaryota, Metazoa, Chordata, Mammalia, Primates, Cebidae. The record is from RefSeq and is a predicted model, not a curated record.